Molecule: ribosomal RNA, 232 nt
Filed under: uncultured bacterium
Lineage: Bacteria
Description: partial 16S ribosomal RNA
Rfam family: Bacterial small subunit ribosomal RNA
Source: RNAcentral
CGGGACGGGUGAGUAAUGUCUGGGAAACUGCCUGAUGGAGGGGGAUAACUACUGGAAACGGUAGCUAAUACCACAUAACGUCGCAAGACCAAAGAGGGGACCUUCGGGCCUCUUGCCAUCGGAUGUGCCCAGAUGGGAUUAGCUAGUAGGUGGGGUAACGGCUCACCUAGGCGACGAUCCCUAGCUGGUCUGAGAGGAUGACCAGCCACACUGGAACUGAGACACGGUCCAG